CACGCUGAAACACCGGUUCUCGUUCGAUCACCGAAGUUAAGCAUCGUAGAGCCAGGUCUGUACUUAGAUGGGGGACCGCUUGGGAACACCUGGUACUGUAAG
This 102-nucleotide ribosomal RNA is filed under the name Acanthosepion pharaonis. Lineage: Eukaryota; Metazoa; Mollusca; Cephalopoda; Sepiida; Sepiidae. The record is from RNAcentral.